GCCCUUUCUAUGGCAGAAUGUCUCCUAAGAAAAGUGGAGGGAAAAGGGAGAUCCUGGCAGACACGAAGAGUAGCAAAGGCAGGCUGAGGGAGCAGGAGGUCGCAUGGUCCCCAGUGUCUCCCACAGGCUCUUACUAAUUCCAAGGGUUGGGCAGCUUCCCCAGGAAGCGCUGCACCAAGUGGUGACGUGGCCCUCCCAUUGGCGGGUCUGAUGGGCCGCCCUGGGAGGGCCUGUCUUCACCGAGUCUCUGCCCCAGGGGCUCCCAACCUAAGUGUGGCAGGCCAGGGGUGGUGCUGUGCGCCAAGACUGUGGUGAGCCGCUUCUGCCGUUUCUGCAGAUUAUGGUCGCCAUUACAAGAUGGCGCUGGCUCCGCUGUGGUCUGUGACAAACAAUUUCUUAUCUGGGAAAGUUGGCACAUGAUUUUUCACCACCCUGUGAGAAAGUUCCACGCGGCAGCUUUGCAUUGGGGCUUGGGAUGCUUUAUUAAGGCUGGGAGGGGCACCCGAGAGAAAGAAGAAGAAAUAUCCAGGGACCUGAAUAAAACUGUUGAGAGAAGAUUCUCGAAUUGCGUCUUCCUUGCGGGCAAGGGGGUCGCGACACAAGACCAGCCCACACGCCACACGAGCGACAAGGUCGAGAGACAGGAGGGCUAGGUCAGGUUCCAGAGAGGAGACUAAAGAGGCCACUCCUGUGCCAUGUGGCCUUGGAUCAGCCUGCGUGGGAGGUGAGCAGCUGUGAGGGACAUGGCUGGCUCGUGGGGUCCCUCGUCAGGUCUCUGGUGCUGUGGACACUCCUGCCUCUUUGGGGUGAAGUGGUAUAUUUCUUACACUCAAGAAGUUCAGAAAAAAACAUGUAGGUACAAAUAGU
RNAcentral lists this long non-coding RNA (867 nucleotides) under Marmota monax (woodchuck). Lineage: Eukaryota; Metazoa; Chordata; Mammalia; Rodentia; Sciuridae. The record is from RNAcentral.